CCUAGCCCGCAAACACCGCCGCCAUCCGUCAUGCCUCCACAGAUCGCUUCCUCCGUGCGACUGCGCGCAUCCUUCAUCCAUCGGUGCCGCAGUGGUGCGCUCUUCCGUUGGUGCUGGUGGGGCUACUCCGUCUCCGCCGCCAGCGCAGUCACCGCCUCGGCCCUCCUCGCCUCACCUGUGCCACGGUUCCAAAACCCCAACCUCCAGGCUCCAGCCGCCCACUACACCUCCACCCCUCUCACGUCGUGCCACACCCUGCCGGCGGCCUGUAACGGCACCACAAGCCCUGUCCUCUCCGCACCCCCCGGGGGGCGAACCUCCUUGCCGUGUGCUACCAUAUCCUCGCCGCAAGCCCUGUCUCGCAAAGAAACCUGGACGCCAUACCUCCUAGCCGUCGCCACGAACAGCUCCAUCGGAAACUCCACCCGCCAUAUAUGCCUUCGUCGCUUUGCCUGCAAGGCUUCGGUGCGGAGCGUAGAUCCCAGGGGCCAAAGCUGCUGCGUGAGGAUAGAGGCAGCCUGCGAUCUAGGUCACUGGUGGAAAAGGGGAGCAAAAAGCCGAAUGUUUUCUGCUGUUUUGCUCCUUUCUUGUUUGCAUCUGAUUAGAUCCAUGAGUUAUACGCUCCCUCGUAUGCACCCUCCCCCAGCUUAAAAUACUUCAUGUACCUUACCAAUUACAAGCCUUUGAUUUUGGUUGCGUUCUAUUCAUGCUUCUCUGGCCUGAUCUUCCUUUUUUUUCAUUUCUUGAUGUCCUGGCUGAUGAGACGGUACCAAGAGAACCAUAUGUUGCUUCAUGCAACUGAUGAACAUGACCAACUGAUUUUCCUUUUUCAGUUUUCUCGCUCUAAGGUGAAACUGACAGACCCAAGGAAGUACUUUGUGCAGCACGCCUACCGUAUACUGCUGCAUGGAGCUCGGGCAAUGUCAAAGCUAUCAUGAAGGCUCCCAAUGAGUUAAUUACUUUCCCCAGGCUAAUUCAAUGGACAAUGCAGGAAGCUCUAGACCACAAUUGUCUGUAACAACAGCCAAUGAUGAUAGAGGAGGCAAUCUUCACACUGGUCAAGGACCUUGCUACCGACUUGCAAAAUUCACCUUAUGAAAUUAUUGGCUACAGCGGUGUGAAGGUAGUCUCACUUCAAAAACAAAUCAGGCUGCUGCAUAUGUGCGAUAUAUUUGGUUUAAGUUGUA
Molecule: long non-coding RNA, 1187 nt
Organism: Oryza sativa Japonica Group (Japanese rice)
Lineage: Eukaryota; Viridiplantae; Streptophyta; Magnoliopsida; Poales; Poaceae
Source: RefSeq, a predicted model, not a curated record